GCCGAGCUGGCGGAAUGGCAGACGCGCUCGUUUCAGGGGCGAGUGGACGAAAGUCCAUCGGGGUUCAACUCCCCGGCUCGGCA
RNAcentral lists this transfer RNA (83 nucleotides) under Chloroflexota bacterium. RNAcentral describes it as "Chloroflexi bacterium (groundwater metagenome) tRNA-Leu". It matches the Rfam family "tRNA". From Rfam's summary of the family: Transfer RNA (tRNA) molecules are approximately 80 nucleotides in length. Their secondary structure includes four short double-helical elements and three loops (D, anti-codon, and T loops). Lineage: Bacteria; Bacillati; Chloroflexota. The record is from RNAcentral.